UGAGUGCGAGCUGCUACGGCAGCGAAGUUGGUGACGUCAUGCUUCCAAGAAAAGCCCUAUACCCGUUAAGGCAUCAUGGCCUGUACCCGAAACCGACACAGGUGGGGUGGUAGAGAAUACCGAGGGGCGCGAGGUAACUCUCUCUAAGGAACUCGGCAAAAUGGCCCCGUAACUUCGGGAGAAGGGGUGCCACCGCAAGGUGGUCGCAGUGAAGAGGCCCAGGCGACUGUUUACCAAAAACACAGGUCUCCGCUAAGUCGCAAGACGAUGUAUGGGGGCUGACGCCUGCCCAGUGCCGGAAGGUUAAGGAAGCUGGUCAGCGCAAGCGAAGCUAGCGACUGAAGCCUCGGUGAACGGCGGCCGUAACGAUAACGGUCCUAAGGUAGCGAAAUUCCUUGUCGGGUAAGUUCCGACCCGCACGAAAGGCGUAACGAUCUGGGCGCUGUCUCGGAGAGAGGCUCGGCGAAAUAGAAUUGUCUGUGAAGAUGCGGACUACGUGCACCCGGACAGAAAGACCCUAUGAAGCUUUACUGUAGCUUGGUAUUGUGCCCGGGCUCGCAAUGCGCAGGAUAGGUGGGAGGCUUUGAUCAUCGGCUUGCGGGUCGAUGUGAGCCAACGGUGAGAUACCACUCUUUGCGAGCUAGGGUUCUAACGGCCACCCGUCAUCCGGGGGCCGGACAGUACCUGGUGGGCAGUUUGACUGGGGCGGUCGCCUCCUAAAAGGUAACGGAGGCGCGCAAAGGUUUGCUCAGGCUGGUUGGAAAUCAGCCGACGAGUGUAAAAGCAGAAGCAAGCUUGACUGUGAGACCAACAAGUCGAACAGGGAGGAAACUCGGCUUUAGUGAUCCGACGGUUCUGAGUGGAAGGGCCGUCGCUCAACGGAUAAAAGUUACUCUAGGAUAACAGGCUGAUCUCCCCCAAGAGUUCACAUCGACGGGGAGGUUUGGCACCUCGAUGUCGGCUCAUCGCAACCUGGGGCUGAAGUCGGUCCCAAGGGUUGGGCUGUUCGCCCAUUAAAGCGGUACGCGAGCUGGGUUCAGAACGUCGUGAGACAGUUCGGUCCAUAUCCGGUGCACGCGCAGGAAUAUUGAGAGGAUUUCUCCCUAGUACGAGAGGACCGGGAGGAACGCACCUCUGGUGUACCAGUUAUCGUGCCAACGGUAAACGCUGGGUAGCCAUGUGCGGAGUGGAUAACCGCUGAAAGCAUCUAAGUGGGAAGCCCACCUCAAGAUGAGUAUUCCCAUGGCGUAAGCCAGUAAGGUCACGGGAAGAACACCCGUUGAUAGGCUCUAUGUGGAAGCGCAGUAAUGCGUGAAGCAGAGGAGUACUAAUAGACCGAGGGCUUGAC
RNAcentral lists this ribosomal RNA (1348 nucleotides) under metagenome. Its description in RNAcentral is "bacterial LSU rRNA". It matches the Rfam family "Bacterial large subunit ribosomal RNA", at positions 1564 to 2925 of the family's 2925-position model. The record is from RNAcentral.